Long non-coding RNA from Nanorana parkeri, 98 nucleotides. RefSeq lists it as uncharacterized. The transcript has 3 exons. NCBI's taxonomy places the organism in Eukaryota, Metazoa, Chordata, Amphibia, Anura, Dicroglossidae. The record is from RefSeq and is a predicted model, not a curated record.
GCAAUUGAUCAGGUUUAGCACAUCGCCAUACACUCUAUUAAAUAAUUCUUCCCUUGUGUUUGAUCCAUCAAGUUUUUCUACACAAUAUGGUUAUGGAA